Molecule: ribosomal RNA, 432 nt
Filed under: uncultured bacterium
Lineage: Bacteria
Description: partial 16S ribosomal RNA
Rfam family: Bacterial small subunit ribosomal RNA
Source: RNAcentral
ACGCACGCUGGCGGCAUGCCUCACCCCUGCAAGUCGCACGAGACCUUCGGGUCUAGUGGCGCACGGGUGCGUAACGCGUGGGAACCUGCCCUUAGGUUCGGAAUAACUCCCCGAAAGGGGUGCUAAUACCGGAUAAUGUCUUCGGACCAAAGAUUUAUCGCCUUUGGAUGGGCCCGCGCUGGAUUAGCUAGUUGGUAGGGUAAAAGCCUACCAAGGCGACGAUCCAUAGCUGGUCUGAGAGGAUGAUCAGCCACACUGGGACUGAGACACGGCCCAGACUCCUACGGGAGGCAGCAGUGGGGAAUAUUGGACAAUGGGCGAAAGCCUGAUCCAGCAAUGCCGCGUGAGUGAUGAAGGCCUUAGGGUUGUAAAGCUCUUUUACCCGGGAUGAUAAUGACAGUACCGGGAGAAUAAGCGCCGGCUAACUCCGUG